This is a long non-coding RNA of Bombus huntii, 3145 nucleotides long. RefSeq lists it as uncharacterized. Lineage: Eukaryota; Metazoa; Arthropoda; Insecta; Hymenoptera; Apidae. The record is from RefSeq and is a predicted model, not a curated record. The transcript has 5 exons.
AUACCAGGGUGGUCGAUGGUAAACCAGCUGAACUUGGUACGUUUUAUGUCUUUCUUUCCGAUUAAUAAUAAGCCAUUUACUGCAAAGAAUGAACUUUAAAGGCAUUAAACAGCACAUCAAUGUACAUUUCAAUUAGACUAAAUAAUAAUGCUAUGAUUUUAUCGGUAGUAACUUUACUUAUUAACUUGAAUUAUUUCUUUCUUUUACUUCAUGUUAGGAAGAGUAUCUUUUUGCUUGAAAUAAAAAAUUGAUAUAGGAGUAAUAAUAUGGAUAGAGAUCAAAAACUGUUAGGGCAGAAAUUACACGUUUGAACUUUAUAGUUCAGUAUAGUUCAAAUAGAAAUUAUAUAGAAUUAUUUAAUAAUUUGUAUUCCACUGGAAUAAAAAUUUAAUUUCUGUCUUUAUCAAAUCUCUGUUUCAGAGUAUUUGUACGUAUGUACUUAUCGUCUGCUGUAUGAUCGAAUUUCGAAUAGGUAAUAAUCGUUGUUACUCGUUAUGUGAGAAAAAAUUAUGUAUAUUCACAACUAUGACUAUUGCAUUUUAGGCGCUUGGCCAUGAAUCGAUGCAUUAGGUUUUCGUAAUCCCCGAAAACCAGACAAACCACUAUGGAAGUGCGGAGGUUCCCUGAUAUCGGCUAGGCAUGUUUUGACCGCAGCACAUUGUGCACAUAUGGAUGGAAUAGAAAACAUACACAAUCAUAAUAUUGCCAUUCUUAGAUUGGUGGAGGAGGUGCCAUUUUCGAGGUACGUAUAUCCCAUUUGUACGAAAGAGCCCCUACGAAAGAGCAACUUCGUCGGCUAUAACCCCCUUGUUGCUGGAUCGGGAGCAUUAAGAUAUAGACGACCACGACGUAAUGCAUUAAUGGAAGUACAAAUGCCAGUGAUUAAGAACGCCGAAUGCAAAAUAGCUUAUUCCAAAUUUCCUAAUGCACCUGAUAUCACUGAUGGUAUAAUAUGCGCCGAACAUGCUCAGGGUGGAGAGGAUUCUUGUACGGUAAUUAAGUUACAGAGUUACUACAAACUAUACGGUAUCUGAAGACACGUCGAUUCGAAUUAACAUCAAAUCGACGUCUUAAACAUUAAAAAUAAUAGAUAAACACAAUUUAAUAGUUUUGCCCACUUCUCACACCUCGUUAUGGUAUUUAAUCUAAUUUCCUCUAAUCUUAGUUUUGCUCAAAAUACAUAUAACAUGUACGUUAUAAAUUGGAGUAUUUCAAUACACAAAUCAAUAGAAGAUUAUUACUGUAUAUAAGUAUAAUUUCAAUACAAUUCGAUCGAUAUAUUUCAGUAUCUUUGAUUAAAAAUUUAACGAUCCUUUCAGGCUGACCGCGGCGGAUCACUGCUGAUACAACAUGAAUUAACCUCGUAUUUAAUAGGUAUUGUGUCUUAUGCUUAUAAGUGCGGCACAGCUGGGUAUCCCAGCGUUUACACUAGGGUCACAUCGUACCUUGACUUCAUUCUCCAAGCGAUGCAAUAAUAUGAUAUUACUGUUCCAUAAAUAUCAUUGUGUAAAAAACGUAAAGUUGGAUUUUCUUAUUGUGGAGAUAAGAAACAGCUCAAAUUUACAUUGUUUUGUACGUUACAAAUUAUAGGCUUAAAAUGUACGAAAUGUAACUUUGAAACGACACUAAUUUUUUACGCACGAUAAACCUCCACAACUUAGGUAUGUAAAGAUGAUAAACGUAUAUUAAUUCUAUUAAUUUGGUAAUAAUAAACCAACUUUCUGAGAAGUUCUGUAAAUUUCGUUUCUUUUGUAUCAAGAGAAUAAUGGAAUAUUCCACUUAGAUCGUAUACUUCUUGUAUGUACGUACAAAAUUUUCCGGCUAAUCUAAAACACUUCAUAAGAUAGAGAGCUUCUGGAAAUUCGGACACAGAGAGUGCAUAAAAUACAAGAUAAGUCUCGUGUCUUUCAAAAUUAUUUUUUAUUCGCUAAAAACGUCCUGUGUACUCAUGCAAUCACAUGCAACCUCGAAACUUCACUUAUUUUUUAUCACUUUCCAAUUCAAUACACAGUUUCUGCAUUUUUGACUAUAUGUAAGAGAAAUUUCCAUUCAGCCAAAGGUGUACUUACAGAUUAUAGAUUCCUAUACGACUCUCAGUAAAAAUUUAUCCGCACUCCAGAUAGUUAAAACUUCUGUCGACCGUAUUGAUCCAUCUGCACUCUUCGUAUGACGUCAAUAUCUGUUCAGUGCUGCUGCGCAGGUUUCUUUGUGUUACGUCAAUUCGUUUGUGACCGUUGCGCGAGUAAUGGCGCUUUGCAAUGGUGAUUUGCAGGAAAACAGUGCAGGAUGCUGUGAUUCGUUUCUUGUGGUCGGAGGUUAUGUUUGAUGCCUAUAUUUAUCAAAGAUUUAAUGCACAUUAUGGAGAAAGUGUUUUGUCACGAAGUGUGUUUGAAUGGGCACAAAAGUUCAAAGAAGAUCGCACGAGUGUUAUGAAAAAACAGCUGGACGCCCGUCCACAUCCACGAUGACAACAUUGAACGUGCUCAUGAACUUAUGCUCUAUGGAAUAGACGAGUGACACUGGAUAAUGUGGCAAAUCAUUUGCAAAUCAGCCACGGCUCUGCUUAUGCAAUAGUGCACGACAGAUUUGGAUUUUAAAAAGUUUGUGCGAGAUGGAUGCCGAAAAAGCUGAUGAAAAGGUGAAGACGACGAUGCAUUCGUGGUUCGCAGCUCAGCCCAAAACAUUUUUUAAUGAGAAAAUACAAAGGUCCUUCGGCAAAUGGACAAAGUGUAUACAGAAAUCGAGUGAUUAUGUCAAAAAAUGAUGUAUGUCUUUUUUGACAAUUGCUUAAAAUAAAUUCUACACCGACAGAGCGGGCUGUUAAUCUAGAGGCUGGAGUACAAAGAAGUGGCACAAUGAUGUGGGCUGAUGACAUUUAUAAUUAUCAAGGAAUCACCCCUACAUUCGCUCAGAAUUUUAAUGAAACUGUCCCUUGGGAAGGAAGAACUGAUACCUUGAUAUCACGGUUUGUACAUCCUAUAUAUACGACAAAUUUUAGAACAUUAUAUAACGAAGAACCAGAUCGUCGUGGCCAUGUGAUGUGAAUAAAAGGACUUGAAUUUGAUGAUAUUUUUAUAAUGUUAGAUAACAUAACUAAGUAUCUUCACAGUAAGAUAGGAUGACAUGGUUUACAUGAUCUUAAUGU